This 67-nucleotide transfer RNA is filed under the name Virpazaria ripkeni. RNAcentral's name for it is "tRNA-Glu". The record is from RNAcentral. Lineage: Eukaryota; Metazoa; Mollusca; Gastropoda; Stylommatophora; Spelaeodiscidae.
GUCUAUAUAGUAUACACAUUACGAUAUUUUUUCAUAAUAUAAAAAAAGUCUAGACUUUUUUAGAUAC